This 260-nucleotide ribosomal RNA is filed under the name uncultured Streptococcus sp. Its description in RNAcentral is "partial 16S ribosomal RNA". It matches the Rfam family "Bacterial small subunit ribosomal RNA", at positions 1118 to 1382 of the family's 1533-position model. Lineage: Bacteria; Bacillati; Bacillota; Bacilli; Lactobacillales; Streptococcaceae. The record is from RNAcentral.
CCAUCAUUCAGUUGGGCACUCUAGCGAGACUGCCGGUAAUAAACCGGAGGAAGUGGGAUGACGUCAAUCAUCAUGCCCUUAUGACCUGGGCUACACACGUGCUACAAUGGUUGGUACAACGAGUUGCGAGUCGGUGACGGCGAGCUAAUCUCUUAAAGACCAAUCUCAGUUCGGAUUGUAGGCUGCAACUCGCCUACAUGAAGUCGGAAUCGCUAGUAAUCGCGGAUCAGCACGCCGCGGUGAAUACGUUCCCGGGCCUU